Molecule: ribosomal RNA, 369 nt
Filed under: uncultured bacterium
Lineage: Bacteria
Description: bacterial SSU rRNA
Rfam family: Bacterial small subunit ribosomal RNA
Source: RNAcentral
GACGAACGCUGGCGGCGUGCAUAACACAUGCAAGUCACGGGGGCCAGCAAUGGCAACCGGCGAACGGGUGCGUAACACGUAAGCGACCUACCUCGAUGUGGGCAUAGCCGGCCUAACGGCCGGGUAAUUCCGCAUGUGAUCCUUGAGGGGCAUAUCUCGGGGAUGAAACCAGUAAUGGGCAUUGAGAGGGGCUUGCGGCCUAUCAGCUUGUUGGCGGGGUAACGGCNCACCAAGGCGACGACGGGUAGCUGGUCUGAGAGGAUGGCCAGCCACAUUGGGACUGAGAAACGGCCCAGACUCCUACGGGAGGCAGCAGUGGGGAAUCUUGCGCAAUGGCCUAACGGCUGACGCAGCGACGCCGCGUGGGGA